This 486-nucleotide ribosomal RNA is filed under the name uncultured bacterium. RNAcentral's name for it is "partial 16S ribosomal RNA". It matches the Rfam family "Bacterial small subunit ribosomal RNA", at positions 30 to 507 of the family's 1533-position model. The record is from RNAcentral.
AUUGAACGCUGGCGGCAUGCCUUACACAUGCAAGUCGAACGGCAGCACGGGUGCUUGCACCUGGUGGCGAGUGGCGAACGGGUGAGUAAUACAUCGGAACAUGUCCUGUAGUGGGGGAUAGCCCGGCGAAAGCCGGAUUAAUACCGCAUACGAUCUACGGAUGAAAGCGGGGGACCUUCGGGCCUCGCGCUAUCGGGUUGGCCGAUGGCUGAUUAGCUAGUUGGUGGGGUAAAGGCCUACCAAGGCGACGAUCAGUAGCUGGUCUGAGAGGACGACCAGCCACACUGGGACUGAGACACGGCCCAGACUCCUACGGGAGGCAGCAGUGGGGAAUUUUGGACAAUGGGCGAAAGCCUGAUCCAGCAAUGCCGCGUGUGUGAAGAAGGCCUUCGGGUUGUAAAGCACUUUUGUCCGGAAAGAAAUCCUUGGCCCUAAUACGGUCGGGGGAUGGCGGUACCGGAAGAAUAAGCACCGGCUAACUACGUG